Molecule: ribosomal RNA, 231 nt
Filed under: uncultured bacterium
Lineage: Bacteria
Description: partial 16S ribosomal RNA
Rfam family: Bacterial small subunit ribosomal RNA
Source: RNAcentral
UACGUAGGGCGCGAGCGUUGUCCGGAAUCAUUGGGCGUAAAGAGCUCGUAGGCGGCCUGUCGCGUCUGCUGUGAAAUCCCGGGGCUCAACCCCGGGCGUGCAGUGGAUACGGGCUGGCUGGAGGCAGGCAGGGGAGAACGGAAUUCCCGGUGUAGCGGUGAAAUGCGCAGAGUAUCGGGAGGAACACCGGUGGCGAAGGCGGUUCUCUGGGCCUGACUGACGCUGAGGAGC